Xenia sp. Carnegie-2017 is the source of this 486-nucleotide long non-coding RNA. RefSeq lists it as uncharacterized. NCBI's taxonomy places the organism in Eukaryota, Metazoa, Cnidaria, Anthozoa, Malacalcyonacea, Xeniidae. The record is from RefSeq and is a predicted model, not a curated record. The transcript has 2 exons.
UCCAAAUAUUAAAGAACUCAAUGGUAACCACUAAUUCUGACAAUACAGGGACUGUCUAAAGUAAAACCAAUAUCUUUAACUGAUGGAACGGGAUUGACUUCUAUACCAAGUUAUAGAAGAUGAGUAAAUUUUUGGGUAAAGUGGUCAACAACAAUGGAUGCAUAUCUAAUGAAUAACUUUUUAUAGUUUUUGAGAUGGCUGUACGGCGUCCAGCUUUUAUUUCUUUGAAAAAUAAGGAGAGGAACUGUUUCGAAUCUUCAGAAAAGAUUCCGAAGAGCUCAGUGGGGCUUAACAUCAUUCUAGUGUCGGACAAAGGCAGCCAAAUUAGCGCUCAUCUGACAUAAUUGUUAUCUUAAUUCAUAUUUUUAAAUGUAAAAUUAAUACAAACAACUUACAUUCUUAACUUCAAAACCUGUUUAUAUUAGAUGUUAGUACUUUGUUUUCCACGCAAUUUUGAAUAAACAUUCAUUUGAAUAUUGACUAUUA